This 441-nucleotide ribosomal RNA is filed under the name Vibrio parahaemolyticus. Its description in RNAcentral is "bacterial SSU rRNA". It matches the Rfam family "Bacterial small subunit ribosomal RNA", at positions 429 to 862 of the family's 1533-position model. Lineage: Bacteria; Pseudomonadati; Pseudomonadota; Gammaproteobacteria; Vibrionales; Vibrionaceae. The record is from RNAcentral.
AGCACUUUCAGUCGUGAGGAAGGUAGUGUAGUAUUAAGCUGCAUUAUUUGACGUUAGCGACAGAAGAAGCACCGGCUAACUCCGUGCCAGCAGCCGCGGUAAUACGGAGGGUGCGAGCGUUAAUCAGAGUUACUGGGCGUAAAGCGCAUGCAGGUGGUUUGUUAAGUCAGAUGUGAAAGCCCGGGGCUCAACCUCGGAAUUGCAUUUGAAACUGGCAGACUAGAGUACUGUAGAACUGGGUAGAAUUUCAGGUGUAGCGGUGAAAUGCGUAGAGAUCUGAAGGAAUACCGGUGGCGAAGGCGGCCCCCUGGACAGAUACUGACACUCAGAUGCGACAGCGUGGGGAGCAUACAGGAUUAGAUACCCUGGUAGUCCACGCCGUAAACGAUGUCUACUUGGAGGUUGUGGCCUUGAGCCGUGGCUUUCGGAGCUAACGCGCCG